CGCCCGCCGCGCCCCGCGCCCGUCCCGCCGCCCCCGCCCGCUCCUACGGGAGGCAGCAGUGGGGAAUAUUGCACAAUGGGCGCAAGCCUGAUGCAGCGACGCCGCGUGCGGGAUGGAGGCCUUCGGGUUGUAAACCGCUUUUGUUCAAGGGCAAGGCACGGUCUUUGGCCGUGUUGAGUGGAUUGUUCGAAUAAGCACCGGCUAACUACGUGCCAGCAGCCGCGGUAAUACA
RNAcentral lists this ribosomal RNA (232 nucleotides) under uncultured organism. Its description in RNAcentral is "partial 16S ribosomal RNA". It matches the Rfam family "Bacterial small subunit ribosomal RNA", at positions 305 to 527 of the family's 1533-position model. The record is from RNAcentral.